UACGGAGGAUGCGAGCGUUAUCCGGAUUUAUUGGGUUUAAAGGGUGCGUAGGCGGACUGUCAAGUCAGCGGUAAAAUUGAGAGGCUCAACCUCUUCCCGCCGUUGAAACUGGUGGUCUUGAGUGGAUGAGAAGUACGCGGAAUGCGUGGUGUAGCUGUGAAAUGCAUAGAUAUCACGCAGAGCUCCGAUUGCGAAGGCAGCGUACCGGCAUCCAACUGACGCUGAGGCACGAAAGCGUGGGGAUCAAACAGG
This 252-nucleotide ribosomal RNA is filed under the name uncultured bacterium. RNAcentral's name for it is "partial 16S ribosomal RNA". It matches the Rfam family "Bacterial small subunit ribosomal RNA", at positions 524 to 776 of the family's 1533-position model. The record is from RNAcentral.